This 497-nucleotide ribosomal RNA is filed under the name uncultured bacterium. Its description in RNAcentral is "partial 16S ribosomal RNA". It matches the Rfam family "Bacterial small subunit ribosomal RNA", at positions 28 to 507 of the family's 1533-position model. The record is from RNAcentral.
GAUGAACGCUGGCGGCGUGCCUAAUACAUGCAAGUCGAGCGAACAGACGAGGAGCUUGCUCCUCUGACGUUAGCGGCGGACGGGUGAGUAACACGUGGAUAACCUACCUAUAAGACUGGGAUAACUUCGGGAAACCGGAGCUAAUACCGGAUAAUAUAUUGAACCGCAUGGUUCAAUAGUGAAAGACGGUUUUGCUGUCACUUAUAGAUGGAUCCGCGCCGCAUUAGCUAGUUGGUAAGGUAACGGCUUACCAAGGCAACGAUGCGUAGCCGACCUGAGAGGGUGGUCGGCCACCCUGGAACUGAGCCACCGUCCAGACUCCUGCGGUAGGCCGCAGUCGGGAAUCUUCGGCAAUGGUCGAAAGCCUGACGGAGCAGCGCCGCGUGUGUGAUGAAGGUCUUCGGAUCGUAAUACUCUGUUAUUAGGGAAGAACAAAUGUGUAAGUAACUAUGCACGUCUUGACGGUACCUAAUCAGAAAGCCCCGGCUAACUACGUG